AAUCUACUCCCUCCGUUCGAAAUUACUUGUAACAAAAAUGGAUGUAUCUGCAACUAAAAUACAUCUAGAUACAUUCAUUUCUUAGACGAGUAAUUCCGAACGGAGGGAUUAUUCA
Non-coding RNA from Triticum urartu, 115 nucleotides. The record is from Rfam. Lineage: Eukaryota; Viridiplantae; Streptophyta; Magnoliopsida; Poales; Poaceae.